This 253-nucleotide ribosomal RNA is filed under the name uncultured bacterium. RNAcentral describes it as "partial 16S ribosomal RNA". It matches the Rfam family "Bacterial small subunit ribosomal RNA", at positions 524 to 776 of the family's 1533-position model. The record is from RNAcentral.
UACGUAGGGGGCUAGCGUUGUCCGGAAUCAUUGGGCGUAAAGCGCGCGUAGGCGGCCCGGUAAGUCCGCAGUAAAAGUCAAAGGCUCAACCUUUGAAUGUCAGUGGAUACUGCCGGGCUAGAGUCCGGAAGAGGCGAGUGGAACUCCUGGUGUAGCGGUGGAAUGCGCAGAUAUCAGGAAGAACACCAACGGCGAAGGCAGCUCGCUAGGACGGUACUGACGCUGAGACGCGAAAGCGUGGGGAGCGAACAGG